Molecule: long non-coding RNA, 2350 nt
Filed under: Prunus persica (peach)
Lineage: Eukaryota; Viridiplantae; Streptophyta; Magnoliopsida; Rosales; Rosaceae
Description: long non-coding RNA (PPER_LNC004524)
Source: RNAcentral
AAGCAUAAAACUGACUAGUGACAAGAAAGAACUAAUCCAACACCAAAGGCCAGAAACUGAAAUUUUGCAUAUUCGGACUAUCAAUAGGACAUUGGUGUAAUGUUUAAUAAUUAAAUUGGAAAGUUUAAUAAAAUUAAUAGAUUUUUCAUAUUUUUAAUAAGGGUACAAUUGGGAAACUAAAUAAAAUUUGUUUUUCAUUUCUACUCAAAACAAACAUGGGAAAAGAAAUAAAGUGAUAUUUCCAGUUUACUUUCUCGAUUUACCAAACAUGAGAAAGGAAUGACUAUUUCUCAUUCCUUGAGAAAUCACAUAGAAAAGGAUUUCCCAUUAAAUUUAUUCUGUAAAUCAAACGGAGCCUAAAAAGUUGAUCAUAGAUGUCCCCGUCAGAAAGCACCAAACAACCAAAUAUUCCUGCACAUGCCAAUUCCACCUUAAUGCAUUAAAUAAUGUCAAUAAAAGCCAUUGCAAUUUCCACAGUUGCCUGACAAGCAUACCUUAUGAAUAUUUAAUCAAUGCAGUCAACAACAAGGUGGCUGCCACCAAUUAAGCCAUCCAUAAAGCUGACUGAUAUUGUCAAUCACAACAGCAGAUAGAGAAGAAUUAUUGCUGCCAAUCAACACCAUUUACACCUUUUCACUCCACUAACGAGGGAUUACCAACAAAUUUGACAAACCGAAAACAUGUUUCUCACUCUCAAAUGAGAAAUAAACAUAGGUUGGAGCUUUACAUUAUUUACAAUGUGAAUAUCAUAUUAAUGAAUAAUUUAUCCAGUGAUUUCAAAGAUCUACCAAAAAAAAGUUGUAGGUAACAGCACAGAAUCAAAUGACGUAAUUUACCUACCCUAAGAAUGAUACCCAACAGCAUAGAAAGUCAGAUUCGCAAAAAAAAUAAUUGUGAAUUGGACAUAACUAUAAUCCAAGAAUAUAUUAAAAAAAAGGGUUGCAGGUAAAUUAUUGGUAUGAAGCGUUUUAUCAUUGGUCUGAAGCAUUUACAUCAAAAACAAUAUAUUAGGCGUAAUUUUUUGUUCAGGCAUGAAAAUACAAUUGGUUUGAAAUAUGCUUGACUAGCUUCAGCAUUUGAUUAGCCUUACUCCUAAAUUGGUGCUAAGCAUCAAAUGACUACACAUGAAAAAAAAAGAAGCAAACAGAAUAACUCCUUUAGUAGUAACAACACAUAUAAAAGAAUGAUACCCAACAGCUCAUAAUCGAAGCAUGUAAUUUACCUAUCCCGCAAGCAUGACCCCAUCAUGUACUCACCCAUACCCAUUUGUAGAAACUACUAGGACCUUAUCUACUUACAUCUCCUCUAUGCAUGGAAAAACAACAUCAAAAUUCACUCGUGCGCUCAUAGCUCAUAUUGGAAUUUCGUCAAACACUUGAUGUGCGCAACUUAAAAUAGACCCAACUUUUUGCUGGAAAAACAACCGACUAUGCAAGAUAGAAAACAACCGACUAUUCAGCGUCUUUGUAGCAGUUUUAUUUCUUGUUCUUGGCACUGGGUCCCUCGAGGGGCAAACCGAGCAGCGGAUGCUGCAGCUCAGCGAGCUAGGCGGAGGAUGUGCGAUGAAGUUUGGGCUUCCAGCCCCCCAUCCUCUCUGGUUUUUGUGUUGCAAGCUGAUGGUCUUCCUUGCCCCCCGCGGUGCUAGGGAGUUUUGUGCUGGAGGCGGAUGGGCUCCCCUUUUGGAGGCGUCAUAGUUACUGGUCUCUAGCCUUGUUUCUUCUAGCAGUUGUGCGUUUUCUUGCUGUUGCUGUUGUUGUUUCCUUCUCUUUCUACCUUUGGUUUUUUGUCUGUUUCUCCCCUUGUUGUCUGUCUUUCGUGUUUGAAUGAAAGUUUCUAUUGACCAAAAAAAAAAAAAAAUGCAAGAUAGAAAACAACGUUAAUGUGAAAAUGAAAACAUAACUGGAAAAAAAAAAUUUGAAACUGAUUGCUACACAAAUUUAUACCAAUACAGAUAAUGAAUGGUACUGAUAAGAACGCAUGAUUUGGGGUAGAUGAAAAUGCAUAAUUUGGGAUAGAUAGAUGAAAAGCUGAUAAGAACGGAGACAAUAACACAUAAAUUACAUGUGUUAUGCAGGCAUACCAGUCAAAGUUUAAGACGUCGGCGCUGGAAUCGUUCGCAGUUAGUGUCGUCUUCAUUUUGUGACUAGUUUGAAAAAUUGAAUGUACCUAUGGACCCUAAUUUUGAAUGGCAGAGACAUUGGAGGCAAUCUAACCUUAGCGAAUAUGUGGUUUUCAAUGAUGGACAUGAAGCAAGGCUGAAAUGGAGGUAUACUAUUUUGAAGAGAAUGUAACAGUCGGACUGAGUGAUCUUUUGUAAUGAUGUAAAAACAUAAGAAUAUUAUGACCUUUU